CACGUAGUUAGCCGGUGCUUAUUCUUACGGUACCGUCAUGACCCGGGGAUAUUAGCCCCAGGCUUUUCGUUCCGUACAAAAGCAGUUUACAACCCGAGGGCCUUCAUCCUGCACGCGGCAUUGCUGGAUCAGGCUUUCGCCCAUUGUCCAAUAUUCCCCA
RNAcentral lists this ribosomal RNA (160 nucleotides) under uncultured bacterium. RNAcentral describes it as "partial 16S ribosomal RNA". The record is from RNAcentral.